CUACGGGGGGCUCCAGUGGGGAAUAUUGCACAAUGAGCGAAAGCUUGAUGCAGCCAUACCGCGUGUGUGAAGAAGGCCCGAGGGUUGUAAAGCACUUUCAAUUGUGAGGAAGGUUCAGUAGUUAAUACCUGCUGUUCUUGACGUUAACUUUAGAAGAAGCACCGGCUAACUCUGUGCCAGCAGCCGCGGUAAUACAGAGGGUGCAAGCGUUAUUCGGAAUUACUGGGCGUAAAGCGCGCGUAGGCGGACUAUUAAGUCAGUUGUGAAAGCCCUGGGCUCAACCUGGGAACUGCAUCUGAUACUGGUAGUCUAGAGUUUAAGAGAGGGAAGUGGAAUUCCAGGUGUAGCAGUGAAAUGCGUAGAUAUCUGGAGGAACAUCAGUGGCGAAGGCGACUUCCUGGCUUAAAACUGACGCUGAGGUGCGAAAGCGUGGGUAGCGAACGGGAUUAGAUACCCCUGUAGUC
Molecule: ribosomal RNA, 464 nt
Filed under: uncultured bacterium
Lineage: Bacteria
Description: partial 16S ribosomal RNA
Rfam family: Bacterial small subunit ribosomal RNA
Source: RNAcentral